Molecule: non-coding RNA, 76 nt
Filed under: Cellulomonas sp.
Lineage: Bacteria; Bacillati; Actinomycetota; Actinomycetes; Micrococcales; Cellulomonadaceae
Description: c-di-GMP sequence
Rfam family: c-di-GMP-I riboswitch aptamer
About the family: GEMM was predicted in a large-scale screen for bacterial structured RNA regulatory elements.
Source: RNAcentral
AGCGAAAAACGGCAAACCCACCGCAAGGCGGGGACGCAAAGCCACGGGACCCACGCAGGUCAGCCGAGCUACCGAA